RNAcentral lists this ribosomal RNA (523 nucleotides) under uncultured bacterium. Its description in RNAcentral is "bacterial SSU rRNA". It matches the Rfam family "Bacterial small subunit ribosomal RNA", at positions 355 to 895 of the family's 1533-position model. The record is from RNAcentral.
UGGGGAAUAUUGCACAAUGGGCGCAAGCCUGAUGCAGCAACGCCGCGUGAAGGAUGAAGGCCUUCGGGUUGUAAACUUCUGUCCUAGGGGAAGAAACAAAUGACAUUACCCUUGGAGGAAGCCCCGGCUAACUACGUGCCAGCAGCCGCGGUAAUACGUAGGGGGCGAGCGUUAUCCGGAAUUAUUGGGCGUAAAGAGUGCGUAGGUGGCACCUUAAGCGCAGGGUUUAAGGCAAUGGCUCAACCAUUGUUCGCCUUGCGAACUGGGGUGCUUGAGUGCAGGAGGGGAAAGUGGAAUUCCUAGUGUAGCGGUGAAAUGCGUAGAUAUUAGGAGGAACACCAGUGGCGAAGGCGACUUUCUGGACUGUUACUGACACUGAGGCACGAAAGCGUGGGGAGCAAACAGGAUUAGAUACCCUGGUAGUCCACGCCGUAACGAUGAGCACUAGGUGUCGGGGUCGCAAGACUUCGGUGCCGCAGUUAACGCAUUAAGUGCUCCGCCUGGGGAGUACGCACGCAAGUGU